This 25-nucleotide non-coding RNA is filed under the name Rattus norvegicus (Norway rat). The record is from RNAcentral. Lineage: Eukaryota; Metazoa; Chordata; Mammalia; Rodentia; Muridae.
UGGUCUGCUGACUUGAUGGAAGAUC